GGAGAAAUGGCCGAGUGGCUUAAGGCGUUGGUUUGCUAAAUCAAUUUACAAAUCGUUUUGUAACGCAGGUUCGAAUCCUGUUUUCUCCG
Molecule: transfer RNA, 89 nt
Filed under: Chloropicon maureeniae
Lineage: Eukaryota; Viridiplantae; Chlorophyta; Chloropicophyceae; Chloropicales; Chloropicaceae
Description: tRNA-Ser
Rfam family: tRNA
About the family: Transfer RNA (tRNA) molecules are approximately 80 nucleotides in length.
Source: RNAcentral